UGGUUGCAAUAAUCUUUGCCAUUUUGGUUUGUUGAAAGUAGACAGUUAUUUCAAGUUUUGAUCCUUGAACUGAGAUGGCCUAUUGGUUGUUUGUACUUGUUCACUUGUUAAUAACUACUGUUAGGCUAUCUGUUUUACUGAAUUGGUUCAGUAAAUGUGUCAUGUUGACUAUUUUGCAAUGUAUUGCCUUGAGUAUUAGCUUAAAAAGUAUCAUGAAAUUUGAUCUCAUCAUCGUUUUAAGAAAAUGGAGGGCUCCAAAGUAGCAUAAGUAAAAUUACCAUUCUGGAAUGAUGAGUUUUCCUAAUUGGGCCAUUGCUUAUCAAAUUGAUGGAUGAAUUAAAGGAAAUUCAUAUUUCAUUAAUGGUGAGCGGUCGCUAAAGCGUAAAAAAACAGUGACAAAUAGGAAAGUGCUUUUACGAAGUGCAUUUAGUGAAGUGGGCUUUUUUGUGUUAGCGCAUAAAAAAAAAAGAGCGCACAGUGUAAAGAGUCUCAACUUCAAGGCCAGUACUGGAAGAUGUUGAGAUAGAUUUAGAUGAAGAUUUUGAUGAAAUUGAUCUUAUUUUGGAGAUG
This 570-nucleotide unclassified non-coding RNA is filed under the name Hevea brasiliensis (rubber tree). Lineage: Eukaryota; Viridiplantae; Streptophyta; Magnoliopsida; Malpighiales; Euphorbiaceae. The record is from RNAcentral.